UGCGAAGAGCUCGGCGGCAGGCAGAGACGCGGGUGGCCAGCGAUGGCCGCGGAGGGGGCCAUCUGUGGCCUGGCCCACGGAGGCCGACGGGAGGCGGCGGCCGAAGAGCCGCUCCCCUUGUCCUGGGCAUGGUGCGUGUCUCGCGCCUGUUUAUCCCGCCGCCGCCUUGGCCGCCGUCACCAAUCUGCAAGAGCACACCUGGAGUUGGACUGGCUGUGUUUCAAGGGCUCAAGAGCCGUGGUUACCAACGACUACAGCAUUGAACCACAUAGUACUAGAUGGGUAGUCAGGAAAGAAAUUAAGUGGAUUCCACAGCAAGUGGCCAUGGCUCUCAGCUUGAGGGGAUCUGAGAUUCCUCACCAAGGAUCGAACCCCAGGUCCCCUGCAUUGAGAGCGUGGUGGCUUAACCACUGGACCACCAGGGAGGUCCCCUGUUAACUUAAAUUGGAUGCUAGCUAAAAAAGCCUGUUUGUGGCCUAUCAACCUACAUUGUACAUCUGCUUUAAUUAUUAAAGAAGAGGACACUGGCCAGAAGUCAAGGAUGUCCAUGUCCAAAAUAAAGGUUAAAGUCCUUCCCGGGAUGCCAGCGCUGGUCCUCCUUUGAUAAUAAGACUCGCUUCACAGGUGCCAAGGUCAUACUGACUUGCCUCAAACGAGCUGGUCUGUUCUGAGACCUUGAAGAAAUGUCUCCCUGAAUUGUUUAACAUUCUUUGUUCUGACAAGAUACAAAACUGUGCUGAAAACCCUGCUUCUUUGGAGCAGUUUCACAGAGUAACCUGGGAAGCAGGCUUCUGGGCUAGCCCUCAGUCUGGCUCAAAUAAAA
This is a long non-coding RNA of Dama dama (fallow deer), 823 nucleotides long. RefSeq lists it as uncharacterized. The record is from RefSeq and is a predicted model, not a curated record. NCBI's taxonomy places the organism in Eukaryota, Metazoa, Chordata, Mammalia, Artiodactyla, Cervidae. The transcript has 3 exons.